RNAcentral lists this long non-coding RNA (1088 nucleotides) under Marmota monax (woodchuck). Lineage: Eukaryota; Metazoa; Chordata; Mammalia; Rodentia; Sciuridae. The record is from RNAcentral.
UGAAGCCAGGAAGAGGGCAGUGGGAUGGGAGCAGAGGGGACAGCCUAGGGACCUGGGAGAGGGUCGGGGAAACCCAGGGGAGGAGGGCAGAAGAGAUGAGAAGAGGGCUGGAGGAGGCCAGCUCUGCCCCAUCCAGGGCAGGCCUGCACCCCUGAGGGCCCCGUGGACACAGGGCAGCAGGGUGGAGACGGGCAGCGCCUAUCCCCUGGUUGUGCCCGGGCUGGGCGCGGCUAGGUCCUCCCCGUGGGAAGAGCCCUGGGCUGGUGGGGGAGGCACCCCUGGUCAGAGGUCUGCAGGAAACACUGGCCCUCCCCCUGGCCUGCCCAGGGCCUGCAGGGGCACUCACUCUGGGGAGAGCACCCCCUGGCAGCCUGGACUCCACAGUCCAUGCAUAAUGCAGUAUUUACCUGGGGGUGAUUGGCGGCCCCUCGGCUCCAGCACCCCUCCCCCGCGGCCCCAGACGGUGAGCCAGACAUGCAUUAAGACAGGAGUGACUUAUCGAGCUGUCAGGGGGAGCGUUUUAAGACAGAAUUAUAGGGGAGAGGGAAAAGAUUUUUACCAAAUUAAUGAAAAAUCAAUCUGGCCUCAAAAAUCCAUUAGCCUUCAUAAUGCGCGGGUUCCAGGCUGAGCCGCACAAUCCGAUAUCAGCUGUUAAAUACCGCCGCGCUCCCCGAUGCCCACCAUUCAUUAUAGGAUGGUGUUUACUCCUGAGACGGACACCUGCCUCAGUGUGCAGCCACAGUUUGUCCAGGGCUCCUGUCCCCAAGCCCCCCUGGGAGGCCCCACACUGGGGGAGUGGACAGUGGCUCCCUGGGUACACACCCAGACAGCAGGUCCCACAGGGCAAGGGUGGCAGACCUGAGCAGAAGGGAAGUCCACGAUAACUGGCCACCAGAGUGUUGCAGCCCUGACUGUGGAGCUGGCUAGGGUGGUCAAGAGUGACCAUGAGAGUGAUGACCAUUGGAGUAGGUAGCCAUGGGGAUAAGUGAUCAUGGAGGUAAGGAACCAUGGAGGUGAGGUGACCAUGGAGGUGACCUGGGGUAACCAUGGGGGUGAGGUGACCAUGAGGUGAGUGACCAUGAUGAUGA